This 195-nucleotide ribosomal RNA is filed under the name Triticum aestivum (bread wheat). Its description in RNAcentral is "partial small subunit ribosomal RNA". Lineage: Eukaryota; Viridiplantae; Streptophyta; Magnoliopsida; Poales; Poaceae. The record is from RNAcentral.
AUGGAGAAGCUGCAAGGUGUGGGCCUGAAGCCAUGGAUGGAUGUGUUUGGUAUGAGGAUAGCGGACGGCGAGGAGGCACCGAACCGAGCGGCGGGCAAGGACGAUGUGAAGCUGCGCGCACGGUCGUCCUAUCCCUCCUCCGCCUGCUGUUACUGGAAGCAAGCGCGGUACCAUCUCAUCUCAUCCACGAGGUGA